UUACUCUUUACUCUCACUGCAGAUACUUCAGAGCCUCAAUAAACAGCCAUCAUUGCUCAGAGAAAGAUUGUUCAGCACGUCAUGCUACUACAGAUCGCCUGCAUGGGUCCAAAGGCUGUGAAGUAAGAAACAGACACAUCCUCUGAUCUGAAUGGGCAGAAACACAGCUGAUGAUGACAGGUUAUUACGACCGAGUCAGCGUUUGUGUGUGCCAGCAUUCUCUGGAGAACAAAACAAACCGAGGCUGUAGACUGACUUGUUGGACGCAGGACACGGUCGCUGUUAUCACGUGAUAACGCAUUUCAAACAAACUGUUCAUUGGGCUGUGCUACAGAGGUUUCUUCUCCUCAUCAUAAUUCCC
This is a long non-coding RNA of Tachysurus vachellii, 361 nucleotides long. RefSeq lists it as uncharacterized. Lineage: Eukaryota; Metazoa; Chordata; Actinopteri; Siluriformes; Bagridae. The record is from RefSeq and is a predicted model, not a curated record. The transcript has 3 exons.